RNAcentral lists this long non-coding RNA (557 nucleotides) under Ananas comosus (pineapple). RNAcentral's name for it is "long non-coding RNA (ACOM_LNC014188)". The record is from RNAcentral. Lineage: Eukaryota; Viridiplantae; Streptophyta; Magnoliopsida; Poales; Bromeliaceae.
UAAUUGUUACAGGAAGCAGAAGCAAAGGUAGAGACAACCACUACAACAAAAUUAGUUUAUAGAAACACGUUUUUAAGACACUUUUGUAUAAGUAUCCCAUUUAUGCUAAAACUUUUUUAAAAAAUUCACUAAGGUCUAAAUAUAAAGUUUAAUCUAAUUAAAAAUAAAAAGUUUCUCAACUCAACCAAUCCUACCCUGCCCACUUGGCCGAUUACAAAUAGAAAAGGGGAAAAAAAAUGAUCACCAUCUGCUCUUCUCCUCCUUCGUUGCCGCAGCCGACGAGAUAGGGUUCCGGCGGCUAGAGUUCGGCCGCGAGGAUCUUGCAGGGACCGUAGAGGAUUGCGAUCACCACGUGUUUCUCCGCCACAGAUUGCUGGAGGAGUGGGUAUCAAACAUCAAGGCGGCCCUACAUAUAGCGAUCCCAUAUAUAGCAACAUUUUUAAAAAAUGUUGGUAAUUUAGCUAGCGAUAUUUUUUUUAGAUCUGUACCGAUAUUUAAAAGUAUCGAUAUACACUAUUUUUGUUGUAAUGAGCGGCCAUCGAGACCGUAUUGUCGAA